CCUACGGGUGGCAGCAGUGAGGAAUAUUGGUCAAUGGACGAGAGUCUGAACCAGCCAAGUAGCGUGAAGGAUGACUGCCCUAUGGGUUGUAAACUUCUUUUAUAAAGGAAUAAAACCAGGCACGUGUGCCUUUUUGCAUGUACUUUAUGAAUAAGGAUCGGCUAACUCCGUGCCAGCAGCCGCGGUAAUACGGAGGGUCCGAGCUUUAUCCGGAUUUAUUGGGUUUAAAGGGAGCGUAGAUGGGUUGUUAAGUCAGUUGUGAAAGUUUGCUGCUCAACCGUAAGAGUGAAAUUGAUACUGGCAGUCUUGAGUAGAGUUGAGGUAGGCGGAAUGCGUGGUGUAGCGGUGAAAUGCAUAGAUAUCACGAAGAACCCCGAUUGCGAAGGCAGCUUACUAGACUGUGACUGACAUUGAUGCUCGAAAGUGUGGGUAUCAAACAGGAUUAGAUACCCGGGUAGUC
Molecule: ribosomal RNA, 460 nt
Filed under: uncultured bacterium
Lineage: Bacteria
Description: partial 16S ribosomal RNA
Rfam family: Bacterial small subunit ribosomal RNA
Source: RNAcentral